UGUUAUGCAUAGUAUCCGUAAGUGAAUACAUAGCUUACGCGAAGGUAACGCAGAGAACUGAAACAUCUAAGUACCUGCAGGAAGAGAAAGUAAAAACGAUUUCCUAAGUAGCGGCGAGCGAACGGGAAACAGGCCAAACCAAGAAGCUUGCUUCUUGGGGUUGUAGGACUGCAACGUGGACUUAAAGUCUAUAGAAGAAUUACCUGGGAAGGUAAGCCAAAGAGAGUAAUAGCCUCGUAUUUGAAAUAGACUUUAUACCUAGCAGUAUCCUGAGUAGGGCUGGACACGCGAAAUCCAGUUUGAAUCCGGGAGGACCAUCUCCCAAGCCUAAAUACUCCUUAAUGACCGAUAGUGAACCAGUACCGUGAGGGAAAGGUGAAAAGAACCCCGGGAGGGGAGUGAAAUAGCACCUGAAACCGUGUGCCUACAAGAAGUUCGAGCCCGUCAAUGGGUGAGAGCGUGCCUUUUGUAGAAUGAACCGGCGAGUUACGUUAUGAUGCGAGGUUAAGCUGAAGAGGCGGAGCCGUAGCGAAAGCGAGUCUGAAUAGGGCGCUUUAGUAUCAUGAUGUAGACCCGAAACCUAGUGACCUAUCCAUGAGCAGGUUGAAGGUGCGGUAAGACGCACUGGAGGACCGAACCAGGACACGUUGAAAAGUGUUUGGAUGACUUGUGGAUAGCGGAGAAAUUCCAAACGAACUGGGAGAUAGCUGGUUCUCUCCGAAAUAGCUUUAGGGCUAGCGUCGCAAUUUAAGUGUAUUGGAGGUAGAGCACUGUUUGGAUGAGGGGCCCAUCUCGGGUUACCAAUUUCAGAUAAACUCCGAAUGCUAAUACACAUGUGCGGCAGUCAGACUGCGAGUGCUAAGAUCCGUAGUCGAAAGGGAAACAGCCCAGACCACCAGCUAAGGUCCCAAAAUAUAUGUUAAGUGGAAAAGGAUGUGGGGUUGCACAGACAACUAGGAUGUUAGCUCAGAAGCAGCUAUCAUUCAAAGAGUGCGUAAUAGCUCACUAGUCGAGUGACCCUGCGCCGAAAAUGUACCGGGGCUAAACAUAUUACCGAAGCUGUGGAUUUAAUAUUAAUUAAAUGGUAGGAGAGCGUUGUAAUCAGCGAUGAAGGUAUACCGUGAGGGGUGCUGGAGCGAUUACAAGUGAGAAUGCCGGUAUGAGUAGCGCAAGAUAAGUGAGAAUCUUAUCCACCGUAAGACUAAGGUUUCCAGGGGAAGGCUCGUCCGCCCUGGGUUAGUCGGGACCUAAGGCGAGGCCGAAAGGCGUAGUCGAUGGACAACAGGUUGAUAUUCCUGUACUAGUAUUGUUAGUGAUGGAGGGACGCAGUAGGCUAAAGGGAGCCAGUUAAUGGAUUCUGGUCUAAGCAGUGAGGUGUGGAAUGUGUCAAAUGCAUUUUCCUUUAACAUUGAGCUGUGAUGGGGAAGCAACUACGGUUGCGAAGCCCUUGAUGUCACACUGCCAAGAAAAUCUUCUAGCGUUUAAUUCAAUACUACCCGUACCGCAAACCGACACAGGUAGUCGAGGCGAGUAGCCUCAGGUGAUCGAGAGAACUCUCGUUAAGGAACUCGGCAAAAUGACCCCGUAACUUCGGGAGAAGGGGUGCUGUAGAAAUACAGCCGCAGUGAAAAGAUCCAAGCAACUGUUUAUCAAAAACA
This 1658-nucleotide ribosomal RNA is filed under the name Lachnospiraceae bacterium. RNAcentral's name for it is "partial 23S ribosomal RNA". It matches the Rfam family "Bacterial large subunit ribosomal RNA", at positions 137 to 1815 of the family's 2925-position model. The record is from RNAcentral. Lineage: Bacteria; Bacillati; Bacillota; Clostridia; Lachnospirales; Lachnospiraceae.